Long non-coding RNA from Pistacia vera, 377 nucleotides. RefSeq lists it as uncharacterized. The transcript has 3 exons. The record is from RefSeq and is a predicted model, not a curated record. NCBI's taxonomy places the organism in Eukaryota, Viridiplantae, Streptophyta, Magnoliopsida, Sapindales, Anacardiaceae.
UCCUCGGUUGUCUUUUUUUUUUCUUUCUUCUUCUUUCUCAGUGACUUUCAUUCAUUCAUUUUCUUUAAUCCUCUUGUGUCGAUCGAAUAUUUGAAUGGACUGGAACGAGAAAGGGAAUAUCGGUGGAGGUUGGGUGUAAAAUUUUGCCUGCUACAGAUGACAUUAAAGUUUCCAGAUUUAGUGGAUCAAAUAUCAUUUUUUUUAUGUGUAUAAAAGCGAGAUGGGACUGAAGACGUCUGUAAAAGGCACCUUCAAAAUAUCAGCUUCAUGCAAGGUGAUGGUGACGAAGAUGGUGAUGGUGAUGGUGAUCCAACGCUCUUUCUUCCUCACUUAAAUAAGUCAUCGUUGAUGCAACUUCACCUUCCCAAAUGUUACCA